CAAAUUUGAAAUCUGGCACCUUCGGUGUCCGAGUUGUAAUUUGAAGAAGGUAACUUUGGAGUUGGCUCUUGUCUAUGUUCCUUGGAACAGGACGUCACAGAGGGUGAGAAUCCCGUGCGAUGAGAUGUCCAACUCUAUGUAAAGUGCUUUCGAAGAGUCGAGUUGUUUGGGAAUGCAGCUCUAAGUGGGUGGUAAAUUCCAUCUAAAGCUAAAUAUUGGCGAGAGACCGAUAGCGAACAAGUACAGUGAUGGAAAGAUGAAAAGAACUUUGAAAAGAGAGUGAAAAAGUACGUGAAAUUGUUGAAAGGGAAGGGUUUGAGAUCAGACUUGGUAUUUUGUAUGUCUUGCUUUCGGGUGGGGCCUCUGCAGUUUACUGGGCCAGCAUCGGUUUGGACGGUAGGAUAAUGACAUUGGAAUGUGGCACUACUUCGGUGGUGUGUUAUAGACUUUGUUGAUACUGCCUGUCUAGACCGAGGACUGCGUCUUUGACUAGGAUGCUGGCAUAAUGAUCCUAAACCGCC
RNAcentral lists this ribosomal RNA (521 nucleotides) under Scheffersomyces shehatae. Its description in RNAcentral is "eukaryotic LSU rRNA". It matches the Rfam family "Eukaryotic large subunit ribosomal RNA", at positions 110 to 649 of the family's 3401-position model. The record is from RNAcentral. Lineage: Eukaryota; Fungi; Ascomycota; Pichiomycetes; Serinales; Debaryomycetaceae.